CUUCCUCAGCCUUACUCCAGGGGCUUCUUGCCUGUAGAGUGCCCUGGCAUUGCCUGAGGAUAGAGGAGAAAGCACAGCUCCCUCCCUAGCAAGACUCUGCUUUCUUGUGGGGCCUACAGAUUGGGCUGACAGC
Small nucleolar RNA from Cricetulus griseus (Chinese hamster), 133 nucleotides. Ensembl annotates it as small nucleolar RNA SNORA49. The record is from Ensembl. NCBI's taxonomy places the organism in Eukaryota, Metazoa, Chordata, Mammalia, Rodentia, Cricetidae.